GACCUGCGGAAGGAUCAUAGUAAUGGUCUUUGACGGGCUGUUUCCGUCUUCCUCGGGACGUUAAGGGGCUCUGGUCGAGGAUAAACGACCCCUCUGACAGAGGUAAAUCCGUCCUUGUGUUACCUCCUUACCGAGGCACACGUUAAAGAUCGUUCCGCAUUGUGAGUCUGACACCAGUUGUAAAAACAAUUACAUACCGGUAGCGCUGGAUCCCUUGGCACGUCAUUCGAUGAAGACCGUUGAAAAUUGCGAUAAAGUGAUGUGAUGCGCAAGUCCACCACUUAUACGUGAAUCAUCGAGUUGUUGAACGCACUGCACCGCGCCCUAACCCGGCUGCGGUAUGCCCCUUUGAGCGUCAUUGUAUCUCUUCGGGAGUCUUUUCUUCACAGAACAGACCCGAGUUCGAAGUCCUCGGUCUUUGGAUCGUGUUCUCUUAGAUGCGUCGCACCGAUCGCCGAUGGGUCACUCUAAUGCCUAAGCGUGGAGUCCCUCGGAGUCGAGACGUGCUUGACCGGGUGAUGAGCUCGCGUCCUCAAGAACCCGGUCCUCGGGGACGAGGGUCCUACAAGGCAUGCCUUCAAUCGGGUAGGACUACCCGCU
Molecule: ribosomal RNA, 600 nt
Filed under: uncultured fungus
Lineage: Eukaryota; Fungi
Description: eukaryotic LSU rRNA
Rfam family: 5.8S ribosomal RNA (bases 195-358)
Source: RNAcentral